Gossypium raimondii (Peruvian cotton) is the source of this 391-nucleotide long non-coding RNA. RefSeq lists it as uncharacterized. NCBI's taxonomy places the organism in Eukaryota, Viridiplantae, Streptophyta, Magnoliopsida, Malvales, Malvaceae. The record is from RefSeq and is a predicted model, not a curated record. The transcript has 3 exons.
AUAAAACAAGAAAUAAAAGAGAAAGAAACAGAAUUGAAAAACGAAAGAGGAGAAAGGAGAAAGAAAAGAAAAAAAGGAGAAUUGGGGUUUUGAAGUUCCAAGCUCAAUUGCUAAUGUCGUGCAAGAGUCAUUGUCCAAGAAAGGAAAGGAGAAGGUGAACAAGGAGUGACUCGAGAGAAAUUUCGGUUAGUAGAAAGCCAGUAUCUGGUCCAGCAUCCAGAGCAAUCCCGACCUCAGGGAAAUUUUAGUGAUGUACCUUUGUUUUGAUAAUGUGGCAUGUACCUAGGUGAUGUAUAGGUUAAGUAUAAGAGUUUUGUUAUUACGGUUGUAGAAUGAUGUUUAAAUUGGUUAUAAGUAUGAAAUGGAACUAAAAUGACAUAAUUUAUACAAA